AAUCGCGGCUGCAAGUGUCGAAAGACCGCAGGUGAGGAAAGUCCGGGCUUCACAGGGCAGGAUGCCGGAUAACGUCCGGUGGAGGCGACUCCCAGGCCAGUGCAACAGAAAAGAACCGCCACAGUUUUGUGGUAAGGGUGAAAAGGCGAGGUAAGAGCUCACCGCUUCUCUGGUAACAGAGAGGGCUGUGUAAACCCCAUCCGAAGCAAGACCGAACAGAGACGAUACGGCGGCCCGUCGUGUCUCGGGUAGGUUGCUUGAGCUUGCUGGUAACAGUAAGCCUAGAUAGAUGAUUGUUUGAUACAGAACUCGGCUUAUAGUGUUGCUCAU
RNAcentral lists this RNase P RNA (330 nucleotides) under human gut metagenome. RNAcentral describes it as "Bacterial RNase P class A". It matches the Rfam family "Bacterial RNase P class A". Rfam says of the family: Ribonuclease P (RNase P) is a ubiquitous endoribonuclease, found in archaea, bacteria and eukarya as well as chloroplasts and mitochondria. Its best characterised activity is the generation of mature 5'-ends of tRNAs by cleaving the 5'-leader elements of precursor-tRNAs. The record is from RNAcentral.